UUCGCCUUCAUGAAGUCGGAAUUGCUGUAAUGGCAGGUCAGCAUACUGCCGUGAAUACGUUCCCGGGCCCUUGUACACACCGCCCGUCACACCAUGAGAGUUGGAGAUACCCGAAGCCUAUGAGCUAACUUUUAGAGGCAGUAGUCGAAGGUAGAAUCAAUGAUUGGGGUGAAGUCGUAACAAGGUAAC
RNAcentral lists this ribosomal RNA (189 nucleotides) under uncultured bacterium. RNAcentral's name for it is "partial 16S ribosomal RNA". It matches the Rfam family "Bacterial small subunit ribosomal RNA", at positions 1311 to 1500 of the family's 1533-position model. The record is from RNAcentral.